GUCGAACGGAGCCUUAACCAAAGAAGCAGCCAGCUUGCUGGAAGCGGAAAACGGUAAGGCUUAGUGGCGGACGGGUGAGUAACGCGUGGGUAACCUGGCCCAUACAGGGGGAUAACACUUAGAAAUAGGUGCUAAUACCGCAUAACAACAGAAAGCGCAUGCUUUUUGUUUGAAAACCAAGGUGGUAUGGGAUGGACCCGCGUCUGAUUAGCUGGUUGGCGGGGUAAAGGCCCACCAAGGCGACGAUCAGUAGCCGGCCUGAGAGGGUGGACGGCCACAUUGGGACUGAGACACGGCCCAAACUCCUACGGGAGGCAGCAGUGGGGAAUAUUGCACAAUGGGGGAAACCCUGAUGCAGCGACGCCGCGUGAGUGAAGAAGUAAUUCGUUAUGUAAAGCUCUAUCAGCAGGGAAGAAAAUGACGGUACCUGAGUAAGAAGCCCCGGCUAACUACGUGCCAGCAGCCGCGGUAAUACGUAGGGGGCAAGCGUUAUCCGGAUUUACUGGGUGUAAAGGGAGCGUAGACGGCAGUGCAAGUCUGGAGUGAAAGGCGGGGGCUCAACCCCCGGACUGCUCUGGAAACUGUACGGCUGGAGUGCAGGAGAGGUAAGUGGAAUUCCUAGUGUAGCGGUGAAAUGCGUAGAUAUUAGGAGGAACACCAGUGGCGAAGGCGGCUUACUGGACUGUAACUGACGUUGAGGCUCGAAAGCGUGGGGAGCAAACAGGAUUAGAUACCCUGGUAGUCCACGCCGUAAACGAUGAUCACUAGGUGU
This 772-nucleotide ribosomal RNA is filed under the name uncultured bacterium. RNAcentral describes it as "bacterial SSU rRNA". It matches the Rfam family "Bacterial small subunit ribosomal RNA", at positions 61 to 823 of the family's 1533-position model. The record is from RNAcentral.